UACGGAGGGGGCUGGCGUUACUCGGAUUGAUUGGGUGUAAAGGGCAUGUAGGUGGCAGGUUAUGUCGAAUGUGAAAUCCCUCGGCUCAACUGAGGAACUGCAUUCGAAACUGGCUUGCUUGAGUGACAGAGAGGAAGAUGGAAUUCCCGGUGUAACAGUGAAAUGUGUAGAUAUCGGGAGGAACACCAGUGGCGAAGGCGAUCUUCUGGCUGUCUACUGACACUGAAAUGCGAAAGCUAGGGGAGCAAAC
This 250-nucleotide ribosomal RNA is filed under the name uncultured bacterium. Its description in RNAcentral is "partial 16S ribosomal RNA". It matches the Rfam family "Bacterial small subunit ribosomal RNA", at positions 524 to 773 of the family's 1533-position model. The record is from RNAcentral.